ACCACAACAGCAGCUCCAACCACAACUACGGCGGCUCCAACCACAACUACAGCAGCUUCAACCACGACCUCAGAUUCUCCAACCAGAACUACAGCUGCUCCAACCGCAAUUACAGCGGCUCCAACCACAACAGAAGCUCCAACCACAACAGCAGCUCCAACCACAACAACAGCUGCUCCAACCACAACCACAGAUGCUCCAACCACAACCACAGCCGUUCCAAAAUUAAUAAGACAACUGAGUUUCACGUCUAAUGAAAAUUUUACUCCUGAUUUGGGUGACCCAUCAUCAGAAGCAUUCAGAGCACGCUCUGACAAAAUUAAAAAGACACUCGAACCAGUCUUCAAACGAACACUCCAUGCCUUUUUAGGGGUGGGACGCAUUAUGUUCAGUGCGGGAUCAAUCAUCACCUCAGUGGACCUUGAAUUUGAGUCAUCGUCAACUCCUAAUGAUACACUAAUCUCAGAAACGAUGGUUACUGAGGCUUCAAAUAUUACAGAAUUUAAUGUGGAUGUUACAACCAUCUCUGUCAGCAACCCAGCUGCUCCAACCACAACUACAGCUCCUCCAACCAGCACUACAGCAGCUCCAACAACAACAGCAGAUCCAACCACCACCACUGCUGCUCCAACCACAACCACAGCUACUCCAACCACAACCACUGCUGCCCCAACGACAACCACAGCUGCCCCAACUACAACCACAUCUGCUCC
Molecule: long non-coding RNA, 713 nt
Organism: Poeciliopsis prolifica (blackstripe livebearer)
Lineage: Eukaryota; Metazoa; Chordata; Actinopteri; Cyprinodontiformes; Poeciliidae
Exons: 4
Source: RefSeq, a predicted model, not a curated record